Molecule: transfer RNA, 73 nt
Filed under: Angiostrongylus costaricensis
Lineage: Eukaryota; Metazoa; Nematoda; Chromadorea; Rhabditida; Metastrongylidae
Rfam family: tRNA
About the family: Transfer RNA (tRNA) molecules are approximately 80 nucleotides in length. Their secondary structure includes four short double-helical elements and three loops (D, anti-codon, and T loops). Further hydrogen bonds mediate the characteristic L-shaped molecular structure. tRNAs have two regions of fundamental functional importance: the anti-codon, which is responsible for specific mRNA codon recognition, and the 3' end, to which the tRNAs corresponding amino acid is attached (by aminoacyl-tRNA synthetases). tRNAs cope with the degeneracy of the genetic code in two manners: having more than one tRNA (with a specific anti-codon) for a particular amino acid; and 'wobble' base-pairing, i.e. permitting non-standard base-pairing at the 3rd anti-codon position.
Source: Rfam by way of RNAcentral
GCCCAUGUGGCUCAAUGGAUGAGGCGUCUGACUUAUAAUCAGAAGAUUGUCGGUUCGACCAUACCCGUGGGCU